UAUUUCAAUGCAUCUACGCAAGCAACGUUUUCCACGUUUCCCUAAACUGGUUUAUCUGCCAAGCCUUUUCAAUAACGGAAGGCACCACACAGACACCACUCUAUCUAUGUAUUUAAUGAUUCGGUUUCAUGAAUUUUAUUUAAAUCGACGAUUACAAUUCCAGCUGGACUCAAUUUUGUAACGUCAUUAGCCACGCCCAACUCGCCCAACGCCCAACUUGAUUGAAAUGAAAACCCCCGGAAGUCAGGUGCCAGCGAUUUAAUGGCCAACCGUGGGACCUACUGUAAGAAAUAGUUCGAGAUUAAUCAUGAACAGGAUGGACCGCAUUACAGCCUUACAAUUUUGAGCCAGCUAGGCGUCCAAAUGACCGGCAACGCACCAAGAGGAGGGUAAUUAACGGAGGAGAAGUUGUGGGGAGUUGGACAGAUGUCCUGCACCUGGUCGUACUCGCUGAGGGAGGCCAGGAAGAUGAGGGACAUGACGUUCUCAAAGCAGUGGAUCCACUUGCGUCUCUCAGACUUCUGGCCCCCGACGUCCACUAUCCUGCUCAGCGAAAACAAGGCGACUAAAAACACAGCGCCCUCUGGUGGCCGCUGCUAAUAAAUCCCAUUCAAAAACGCAUAGGACAUGAUUACUAAGAACGUUCGCAAGUGCAAAACAUUUUAGCGCGGGCAAAACUGAUUGGCGCAAAAUAAAGACCAUGACCAGUCAUUGUUAUUGGUUUUGCGUGUGCUGAAAGGUUUUGCACAUGCUAAAGGUCUUAAUAAAUCAACGCAUGCAUCUCA
Long non-coding RNA from Anguilla rostrata (American eel), 785 nucleotides. RefSeq lists it as uncharacterized. The transcript has 2 exons. Lineage: Eukaryota; Metazoa; Chordata; Actinopteri; Anguilliformes; Anguillidae. The record is from RefSeq and is a predicted model, not a curated record.